RNAcentral lists this ribosomal RNA (254 nucleotides) under uncultured bacterium. RNAcentral describes it as "partial 16S ribosomal RNA". It matches the Rfam family "Bacterial small subunit ribosomal RNA", at positions 524 to 776 of the family's 1533-position model. The record is from RNAcentral.
UACAGAGGUGGCAAGCGUUGUUCGGAAUUACUGGGCGUAAAGGGCGCGUAGGCGGUUCGAUAAGUCCCGUGUGAAAUCCCUCGGCUCAACUGAGGAACUGCACGGGAAACUGACGGGCUUGAGUUCGGGAGAGGGGAAGCGGAAUUCCGGGUGGUAGCGGUGAAAUGCGUAGAUAUCCGGAGGAACACCGGUGGCGAAGGCGGCUUCCUGGACCGACACUGACGCUGAGGCGCGAAAGCUAGGGAGCAAACGGG